This 1854-nucleotide ribosomal RNA is filed under the name Hamatopeduncularia elongata. RNAcentral's name for it is "SSU rRNA". It matches the Rfam family "Eukaryotic small subunit ribosomal RNA". Lineage: Eukaryota; Metazoa; Platyhelminthes; Monogenea; Dactylogyridea; Ancylodiscoididae. The record is from RNAcentral.
UAGUCAUAUGCUUGUCUCAAAGAUUUACCCAUGCAUGCCUAAGUACACGCCUAAAUAUGGUAAAACCGCGAAUGGCUCAUUAAAUCAGCUAUGGUUCCUUGGAUCAUAAUGCUACUACAUGGAUAACUGUAGUAAUUCUAGAGCUAAUACGUGCCUCGAGGCCCUGAUCCGCAAGGUGAGGGGCGCACUUAUUAGUCUACAACACAAACGAUUCGUCGUUGUUUGUGGUGACUCUGGAUAACUUUGUAUGAUCGCAGCUGGCCACCGUGCCGGCGACGGAUCCAUCAAAUAUCUGCCCUAUCAACUUACGAUGGUAGGUGAUAUGCCUACCAUGGUUAUGACGGGUAACGGGGAAUCAGGGUUCGAUUCCGGAGAGGGAGCCUGAGAAACGGCUACCACAUCCAAGGAAGGCAGCAGGCGCGUAAAUUACCCACUCUCUGAACGAGGAGGUAGUAAAGAUAAAUAUCGAUACAGAACUCAUUCGAGGCUCUGUAAUCGAAAUGAGUGCACUAUAAAUCUUAUAACGAGGAUCUAUUGGAGGGCAAGUCUGGUGCCAGCAGCCGCGGUAACUCCAGCUCCAAUAGCGUAUAUUAAAAUUGCUUCAGUUAAAAAGCUCGUAGUUGGAUCUGGGCCAUAUAGUGAUGAUCAAUUUAAUUGUGGUUUGCUAACGCUUAUCAUGGUUAGUUGGUAUAUUCGCUUGUGGCUUCGUAGCUAUGUUCACUUGAUUUCGGUCUUGUAAAUGAUAUUGGAUGCCGGUGUUUGCUCCUUCGCGGGGGUGAAUGCGAUUCAUUACCAUGUUCUCCUGAUUCCCUUAACCGGGUGUCCGGGACUCUUAGCACGUUUACUUUGAACAAAUUUGAGUGCUCAAAGCAGGCCGCUUGUUGCCUGAAGAUUUUUGCAUGGAAUAAUGAAAUAGGACUUUGGUCCUAUUUUGUUGGUUUGAUAGAACCGAAGUAAUGAUAAAGAGGAACCGUCGGGGGCAUUUGUAUGGCUGCGCUAGAGGUGAAAUUUGUGGGCCGUAGCCCGACAACUUAAAGCGAAAGCAUUUGCCUAGUAUGUUUUCAUUUACCCGGAGCGAAAGUCAGAGGUUUGAAGACGAUUCGAUACCGUCCUAGUUUUGACCAUAAACGAUGCCAACUGACGAUCCGUGGUAGUUCUUUAUAUGAGCCCACGGGCAGUCUCCGGGAAACCUGUAAGUCUAUGGGUUCCGGGGAAAGUAUGGUUGCAAAACUGAAACUUAAAGGAAUUGACGGAAGGGCACCACCAGGAGUGGAGCUUGCGGCUUAAUUUGACUCAACACGGGAAAACUCACCCGACCCGGACACUGGGAGGAUUGACAGAUUGAUAGCUCUUUCUUGAUUCAGUGGCUAGUGGUGCAUGGCCGUUCUUAAUUCGUGGUACGAACUGUCUGGUUAAUUCCGAUAACGAACGAAACUCUAUCCUGCUAAAUAAUACAGUUGCAACCAUUAUGUGGACUGCUGUGCUGGAGCUCCGGUUCCGGUGCAGUGCCGCAUAGGCAGGUGAAACUUCUUAGAGGAACUGGCGCUCGAAAAGGCGCACGAGAAAAAGCAAUAACAGGUCUGUGAUGCCCCAAGAUGUCCGGGGCCGCACGCGUGCUACAAUGACGAUGCUUAUGAGCAUGAUUAACUUGUGGGAAAAGAUCGGUGAAAAUGCUCGAUCAUCCUCGUGCCUGGGAGUAAGGUUUUUUAUUAUUCCCCCCGAAGCAAGAAGUAUUACUAAGCACAAGUCAUUAACAUGUGCUGAAUAAGUACCUGCCCGUUCAUUACACACACCCGCCGCUACUACCGACUGAAUGGUUUAUAAACCAAGUGAAUGGAAUGGAUUCAGACAGAG